Molecule: transfer RNA, 84 nt
Filed under: Mycobacterium phage prophi91-3
Lineage: Duplodnaviria; Heunggongvirae; Uroviricota; Caudoviricetes
Description: tRNA-Ser
Source: RNAcentral
GCGUUCUGGCUCAGCUGGUCUGGGGGCGCCUCGUUGGAGCCGAGGUAGAUACCGGUGUGGUGGGUUCCAGUGCCGCUGAAUGCU